This 1769-nucleotide long non-coding RNA is filed under the name Homo sapiens (human). RNAcentral's name for it is "HSALNT0215224". The record is from RNAcentral. Lineage: Eukaryota; Metazoa; Chordata; Mammalia; Primates; Hominidae.
CCGGCCUCCCAAAGUGCUAGGAUUAGAGGCGUGAGUCACUGCGCCUGGCCCUUGAUGAGCUUUUAUUUAUGAAGUGCCUGACAUGGUGCCAAGGAUAAAGAACUGUGAAGAUUCUGCCUCUUACCGUUAGCAAAACUCGACUUCUAUCAACAAGGAUUUGAUGAGCACCUAAUAGCCGCCAGGCACUGUGUAAGGCAUGAGGAUCCCGUAUGAACAUGACAAAGUCCCUGGCCUGCCAGAACUAAUGGUCUAGGGGAAGGUGCAGAGAAAAAAAGUGGGCAAUUAUGAUAUAUAGUCCUGUGGGUGCUGCUCAGGUCAGGUGAUAUGGAAACAUGGAGAAAGGGCUCCUAACCCGGAUUGACGGAUCACAGAAGGCUGCCUGGAGGAGAUGGCAGGAGUGGAAGCCAUAAAGGAUAGGCAAGAGAUGGCCAGGAGACUGGAGGCAAGAGGUGGGCCUGCAGGGCACUGAACUGGAACUGCGUGGCGCGGAGGUGGGCAUCAGAAAGCCCGGGAAGGGGGAAUCUGGCUGGCAUCAUCACACAAAGGACGACCGAGUCACCGAGUGAGGAGAGCUGUGGGUCAUAACAGGAGAAGCAGCCGGCGGCAGAACACAGAGGGCCCUGAACAUUCAGGAGUCAGGCAAGGAGCACAAGGUCCUCGCUUCCCGGAGUUUCUGGACGUGAACAGAAAGCAACACUUUGAUGAUCAUGUGGGCAGGAGAGGGAUGAACUUUGGUGGGGUGAGGGGCAGGGAAACCGGACUUUUAGGCUCUCUGAGCAUCCCACCAAGUGGCUGUCGGUUCAGAAGACCUGUCCCCAGGGCGACUAAUGUCUGCACAAGAAUUGACUCAGGUGUUGCUGCUCUCAGUACGGUAGAAAAGGUUUCUAACAGUGGUGCGUUGGAGCUGCCCCAACCAGCACGUGAGAGCUGAUGGUUACAUGAUGAGACCCAGCAGAGAAACAGGAAAUGAGAGGCAGACGAAAGGAGAUCAAGCUGUCAGCUUGAUUCCUGACACAGGCAUCAUCUUCAUCCCUAUACUGAACUUCCCAGCACUCACGCUCUGCAGACCUCCUUCUUCAGGGGACACUUCUCAAAAGAAGACAUUUAUGCGGCCAAAAAACAUCAUCACUGGUCAUUAGAGAAAUGCAAAUCAAAACCACAAUGAGAUACCAUCUCAUGCCAGUUAGAAUGGUGAUCAUUAAAAAGUCAGGAAACAACAGAUGCUGGAGAGGAUGUGGGGAAAUAGGAACACUUUUACACUGUUGUAUAAAUUAGUUCAAUUAUUGUGGAAGACAGUGUGUUGAUUCCUCAGGGAUCUAGAACCAGAAAUACCAUUUGACCCAGUAAUCCCAUUACUGGGUAUAUACCCAAAGGAUUGUAAAUCAUUCUACUAUAAAGACACAUGCACACGUAUGUUUAUUGCAGCACUAUUCACAGUGGCAAAGACUUGGAACUGAGCCUAAUGAGAAAUGCCCAUCAAUGAUAGACUGGAUAAAGAAAAUGUGGCACAUAUACACUAUGGAAUACUAUGCAGCCAUAAAAAAGGAUGAGUUCUUGUCCUUUGCAGGGACAUGGAUGAAGCUGGAAACCAUCAGUUUCAGCAAACUAACACAGGAACAGAAAACCAAACACCACAUGUUCUCACUCAGAAGUGGGAGCUGAACAAUGAAAACACAUGGACACAGGGAGGGGAACAUCAUACACCGGGGCCUGUCGGGGGGUGAGGGGCUAGGGGAGGGAUAGCAUUAGGAGAAAUACCUAAUGUAGAU